GAUGAACGCUGGCGGCGUGCCUAAUACAUGCAAGUCGAGCGAAUGGAUUAAGAGCUUGCUCUUAUGAAGUUAGCGGCGGACGGGUGAGUAACACGUGGGUAACCUGCCCAUAAGACUGGGAUAACUCCGGGAAACCGGGGCUAAUACCGGAUAACAUUUUGAACCGCAUGGUUCGAAAUUGAAAGGCGGCUUCGGCUGUCACUUAUGGAUGGACGCGCGGCGCAUGAGCUAGUUGGUGAGGUAACGGGUCAUCAAGGCAACGAGGCGUAGCCGACCUGAGAGGGUGAUCGGCCACACUGGGACUGAGACACGGCCCAGACUCCUACGGGAGGCAGCAGUAGGGAAUCUUCCGCAAUGGACGAAAGUCUGACGGAGCAACGCCGCGUGAGUGAUGAAGGCUUUCGGGUCGUAAAACUCUGUUGUUAAGGAAGAACAAGUGCUAGUUGAAUAAGCUGGCACCUUGACGGUACCUAACCAGAAAGCCACGGCUAACUACGUGCCAGCAGCCGCGGUAA
RNAcentral lists this ribosomal RNA (515 nucleotides) under uncultured bacterium. RNAcentral describes it as "partial 16S ribosomal RNA". It matches the Rfam family "Bacterial small subunit ribosomal RNA", at positions 28 to 523 of the family's 1533-position model. The record is from RNAcentral.